UACAGAGGGUGCGAGCGUUGUUCGGAAUUAUUGGGCGUAAAGCGCUGGUAGGUGGCUUGUUAAGUCGCGUGUGAAAGCUCCAGGCUCAACCUGGAAAGUGCGCGCGAAACUGGCGAGCUUGAGUGCCGGAGAGGGUCGCGGAAUUCCCGGUGUAGAGGUGAAAUUCGUAGAUAUCAGGAGGAACACCGGUGGCGAAGGCGGGUCUCUGGGCCGAUACUGACGCUGAGGAGCGAAAGCGUGGGGAGCGAACAGG
RNAcentral lists this ribosomal RNA (253 nucleotides) under uncultured bacterium. RNAcentral's name for it is "partial 16S ribosomal RNA". It matches the Rfam family "Bacterial small subunit ribosomal RNA", at positions 524 to 776 of the family's 1533-position model. The record is from RNAcentral.